AAAAAAAAAACUACAUACUAAUAAUUAGAUCAUAUUUUAAAUUUACAAAAGUUGUCUUCUUUUUCAUUUACGAACUUUUCAAGUAGGCUUUGAAAAUCACAAUUUGCAUAUUAUCUUAAUCUUAAAAGAGACGAGUUAGGUCUCAAAAGGUUAAAAGUACAUUUGAUUUUAUUUUAUUUCUUUGCAAAUUAAAAUAUAUUUUAAUGCAAGUGGGUUAUGCAUGUAUCUUCAUUCUUCCUAUGAUUAACAAGUUUUAAAUGUUUACAUUCAAAUUUGGAUAAGAUACAAGUAAUUCUAAACAUUCAAAUUUGGAUAAGAUACAAGUAAUUCUAAAAGUGAUAAAUUGAUUUAAAAUGUAUUCAUUAAACUAGAUAUGGAAAUUAAUAGGCAAAGCAAUAUCUCCUUUCCUUUGUUUUCUCUUUAUGUUAGAGUGUUAAACUGAGAUAGAAAGAGAA
RNAcentral lists this long non-coding RNA (455 nucleotides) under Medicago truncatula (barrel medic). RNAcentral's name for it is "long non-coding RNA (MTRU_LNC001958)". Lineage: Eukaryota; Viridiplantae; Streptophyta; Magnoliopsida; Fabales; Fabaceae. The record is from RNAcentral.